RNAcentral lists this ribosomal RNA (2789 nucleotides) under Escherichia coli. RNAcentral's name for it is "bacterial LSU rRNA". It matches the Rfam family "Bacterial large subunit ribosomal RNA". Lineage: Bacteria; Pseudomonadati; Pseudomonadota; Gammaproteobacteria; Enterobacterales; Enterobacteriaceae. The record is from RNAcentral.
AGCGUACACGGUGGAUGCCCUGGCAGUCAGAGGCGAUGAAGGACGUGCUAAUCUGCGAUAAGCGUCGGUAAGGUGAUAUGAACCGUUAUAACCGGCGAUUUCCGAAUGGGGAAACCCAGUGUGAUUCGUCACACUAUCAUUAACUGAAUCCAUAGGUUAAUGAGGCGAACCGGGGGAACUGAAACAUCUAAGUACCCCGAGGAAAAGAAAUCAACCGAGAUUCCCCCAGUAGCGGCGAGCGAACGGGGAGCAGCCCAGAGCCUGAAUCAGUGUGUGUGUUAGUGGAAGCGUCUGGAAAGGCGUGCGAUACAGGGUGACAGCCCCGUACACAAAAAUGCACAUGCUGUGAGCUCGAUGAGUAGGGCGGGACACGUGGUAUCCUGUCUGAAUAUGGGGGGACCAUCCUCCAAGGCUAAAUACUCCUGACUGACCGAUAGUGAACCAGUACCGUGAGGGAAAGGCGAAAAGAACCCCGGCGAGGGGAGUGAAAAAGAACCUGAAACCGUGUACGUACAAGCAGUGGGAGCACAGAGCAAUCUGUGUGACUGCGUACCUUUUGUAUAAUGGGUCAGCGACUUAUAUUCUGUAGCAAGGUUAACCGAAUAGGGGAGCCGAAGGGAAACCGAGUCUUAACUGGGCGUUAAGUUGCAGGGUAUAGACCCGAAACCCGGUGAUCUAGCCAUGGGCAGGUUGAAGGUUGGGUAACACUAACUGGAGGACCGAACCGACUAAUGUUGAAAAAUUAGCGGAUGACUUGUGGCUGGGGGUGAAAGGCCAAUCAAACCGGGAGAUAGCUGGUUCUCCCCGAAAGCUAUUUAGGUAGCGCCUCGUGAAUUCAUCUCCGGGGGUAGAGCACUGUUUCGGCAAGGGGGUCAUCCCGACUUACCAACCCGAUGCAAACUGCGAAUACCGGAGAAUGUUAUCACGGGAGACACACGGCGGGUGCUAACGUCCGUCGUGAAGAGGGAAACAACCCAGACCGCCAGCUAAGGUCCCAAAGUCAUGGUUAAGUGGGAAACGAUGUGGGAAGGCCCAGACAGCCAGGAUGUUGGCUUAGAAGCAGCCAUCAUUUAAAGAAAGCGUAAUAGCUCACUGGUCGAGUCGGCCUGCGCGGAAGAUGUAACGGGGCUAAACCAUGCACCGAAGCUGCGGCAGCGACGCUUAUGCGUUGUUGGGUAGGGGAGCGUUCUGUAAGCCUGUGAAGGUGUACUGUGAGGUAUGCUGGAGGUAUCAGAAGUGCGAAUGCUGACAUAAGUAACGAUAAAGCGGGUGAAAAGCCCGCUCGCCGGAAGACCAAGGGUUCCUGUCCAACGUUAAUCGGGGCAGGGUGAGUCGACCCCUAAGGCGAGGCCGAAAGGCGUAGUCGAUGGGAAACAGGUUAAUAUUCCUGUACUUGGUGUUACUGCGAAGGGGGGACGGAGAAGGCUAUGUUGGCCGGGCGACGGUUGUCCCGGUUUAAGCGUGUAGGCUGGUUUUCCAGGCAAAUCCGGAAAAUCAAGGCUGAGGCGUGAUGACGAGGCACUACGGUGCUGAAGCAACAAAUGCCCUGCUUCCAGGAAAAGCCUCUAAGCAUCAGGUAACAUCAAAUCGUACCCCAAACCGACACAGGUGGUCAGGUAGAGAAUACCAAGGCGCUUGAGAGAACUCGGGUGAAGGAACUAGGCAAAAUGGUGCCGUAACUUCGGGAGAAGGCACGCUGAUAUGUAGGUGAAGUCCCUCGCGGAUGGAGCUGAAAUCAGUCGAAGAUACCAGCUGGCUGCAACUGUUUAUUAAAAACACAGCACUGUGCAAACACGAAAGUGGACGUAUACGGUGUGACGCCUGCCCGGUGCCGGAAGGUUAAUUGAUGGGGUCAGCGCAAGCGAAGCUCUUGAUCGAAGCCCCGGUAAACGGCGGCCGUAACUAUAACGGUCCUAAGGUAGCGAAAUUCCUUGUCGGGUAAGUUCCGACCUGCACGAAUGGCGUAAUGAUGGCCAGGCUGUCUCCACCCGAGACUCAGUGAAAUUGAACUCGCUGUGAAGAUGCAGUGUACCCGCGGCAAGACGGAAAGACCCCGUGAACCUUUACUAUAGCUUGACACUGAACAUUGAGCCUUGAUGUGUAGGAUAGGUGGGAGGCUUGGAAGUGUGGACGCCAGUCUGCAUGGAGCCGACCUUGAAAUACCACCCUUUAAUGUUUGAUGUUCUAACGUUGACCCGUAAUCCGGGUUGCGGACAGUGUCUGGUGGGUAGUUUGACUGGGGCGGUCUCCUCCUAAAGAGUAACGGAGGAGCACGAAGGUUGGCUAAUCCUGGUCGGACAUCAGGAGGUUAGUGCAAUGGCAUAAGCCAGCUUGACUGCGAGCGUGACGGCGCGAGCAGGUGCGAAAGCAGGUCAUAGUGAUCCGGUGGUUCUGAAUGGAAGGGCCAUCGCUCAACGGAUAAAAGGUACUCCGGGGAUAACAGGCUGAUACCGCCCAAGAGUUCAUAUCGACGGCGGUGUUUGGCACCUCGAUGUCGGCUCAUCACAUCCUGGGGCUGAAGUAGGUCCCAAGGGUAUGGCUGUUCGCCAUUUAAAGUGGUACGCGAGCUGGGUUUAGAACGUCGUGAGACAGUUCGGUCCCUAUCUGCCGUGGGCGCUGGAGAACUGAGGGGGGCUGCUCCUAGUACGAGAGGACCGGAGUGGACGCAUCACUGGUGUUCGGGUUGUCAUGCCAAUGGCACUGCCCGGUAGCUAAAUGCGGAAGAGAUAAGUGCUGAAAGCAUCUAAGCACGAAACUUGCCCCGAGAUGAGUUCUCCCUGACUCCUUGA